This is a long non-coding RNA of Homo sapiens (human), 3686 nucleotides long. Ensembl annotates it as ankyrin repeat domain 20 family member A5, pseudogene. Its record names the gene ANKRD20A5P. The record is from Ensembl. NCBI's taxonomy places the organism in Eukaryota, Metazoa, Chordata, Mammalia, Primates, Hominidae.
GCAGGCGCGCGCCCAACGGCUUUGCGAGGCUCACUCGGUCUGAGAGGUCGGAGGCUGCGAGUGUCGCUGCUGAAGGCUGUGGUGGACCGGGCUGGAUCGCGGAUUGUGGAGUAGAUUAUAGAUUUGAAAUAGCGGAGUUGGGGUUGGAUCGGGGCUUUGGGGUUGGAUAGGGGAUUUGGGGCUGGGUCGGCCGGGGUCGGGGAGGGGGGUGGUGAAAAGGUGACAGGGAGCUGCCCUCGCUCAAGAGCCGGUGGUUGGGGGUCUGAGAAGAAGUCACCAAUAUGAAGUUAUUCGGCUUCGGGAGCCGCAGGGGCCAGACGGCCCAGGGCUCCAUAGACCACGUCUACACGGGUUCCGGAUACCGAAUCCGGGACUCCGAACUGCAGAAGAUCCACAGGGCAGCUGUCAAAGGCGACGCCGCGGAGGUGGAGCGCUGCUUGGCGCGCAGGAGCGGAGAACUGGACGCCCUGGACAAGCAGCACAGAACUGCUCUACACUUGGCCUGUGCCAGUGGCCAUGUGCAAGUGGUCACUCUCCUGGUUAACAGAAAAUGCCAGAUUGAUGUCUGUGACAAAGAAAACAGAACGCCUUUGAUACAGGCUGUCCAUUGCCAGGAAGAGGCUUGUGCCGUUAUUCUGCUGGAACAUGGCGCCAAUCCAAACCUUAAGGAUAUCUACGGCAACACUGCUCUCCAUUAUGCCGUGUAUAGUGAGAGCACCUCACUGGCAGAAAAACUGCUUUCCCAUGGUGCACAUAUUGAAGCACUGGACAAGGACAAUAAUACCCCACUUUUAUUUGCUAUAAUUUGCAAGAAAGAGAAAAUGGUGGAAUUUUUAUUGAAAAAGAAAGCAAGUUCACAUGCCGUUGAUAGGCUGAGACGGUCAGCUCUCAUGCUUGCUGUAUACUAUGACUCACCAGGUAUUGUCAAUAUCCUUCUUAAGCAAAAUAUUGAUGUCUUCGCUCAAGACAUGUGUGGACGAGAUGCAGAAGAUUAUGCUAUUUCUCAUCAUUUGACAAAAAUUCAACAACAAAUUUUGGAACAUAAAAAGAAGAUACUUAAAAAGGAGAAAUCAGAUGUUGGAAGUUCUGAUGAAUCUGCAGUCAGCAUUUUCCAUGAACUGCGUGUGGAUUCAUUGCCUGCAUCGGAUGACAAAGACUUGAAUGUUGCUACUAAGCAGUGUGUCCCCGAGAAAGUGUCAGAGCCUUUACCUGGAUCUUCGCAUGAAAAAGGAAACAGAAUAGUCAAUGGACAAGGAGAAGGGCCUCCUGCAAAACAUCCUUCCUUGAAGCCUAGCACUGAAGUGGAAGAUCCUGCUGUGAAAGGAGCAGUACAAAGAAAGAAUGUACAGACAUUGAGAGCAGAACAAGCCUUACCAGUGGCUUCAGAGGAAGAGCAACAAAGGCAUGAAAGAAGUGAAAAGAAGCAACCACAGGUCAAAGAAGGAAAUAAUACAAACAAAAGUGAAAAAAUACAACUUUCAGAAAAUAUAUGUGAUAGUACAUCUUCUGCUGCUGCUGGCAGAUUAACCCAACAAAGAAAGAUUGGGAAAACGUAUCCUCAGCAAUUUCCCAAGAAGCUGAAGGAAGAGCAUGAUAGAUGCACCUUAAAACAAGAAAAUGAAGAAAAAACAAAUGUUAAUAUGCUGUACAAAAAAAAUAGAGAAGAAUUAGAAAGGAAAGAGAAACAAUAUAAGAAAGAAGUUGAAGCAAAACAACUUGAACCAACUGUUCAGUCACUAGAGAUGAAAUCAAAGACUGCAAGAAAUACUCCAAAUUGGGAUUUUCAUAAUCAUGAAGAAAUGAAAGGUCUGAUGGAUGAAAAUUGCAUUUUGAAGGCAGAUAUUGCUAUACUCAGACAGGAAAUAUGUACAAUGAAAAAUGACAACUUGGAAAAAGAAAAUAAAUAUCUUAAGGACAUUAAAAUUGUUAAAGAAACAAAUGCUGCCCUUGAAAAGUAUAUAAAACUCAAUGAGGAAAUGAUAACAGAAACAGCAUUCCGGUAUCAACAAGAGCUUAAUGAUCUCAAGGCUGAGAAUACAAGGCUCAAUGCCGAACUGUUGAAGGAAAAAGAAAGCAAGAAAAGACUGGAAGCUGACAUUGAAUCUUAUCAGUCUAGACUGGCUGCUGCUAUAAGCAAACACAGUGAAAGUGUGAAAACAGAAAGAAACCUAAAACUUGCUUUAGAGAGAACACAAGAUGUUUCUGUACAAGUAGAAAUGAGUUCUGCUAUUUCCAAAGUAAAAGAUGAGAAUGAGUUUCUUACUGAACAACUUUCUGAAACACAAAUUAAAUUCAAUGCCUUAAAAGAUAAGUUCCGUAAGACAAGAGAUAGUCUCAGAAAAAAGUCAUUGGCUUUAGAAACUGUACAAAACAACCUAAGCCAAACACAGCAGCAAACACAGGAAAUGAAAGAGAUGUAUCAAAAUGCAGAAGCUAAAGUGAAUAAUUCCACUGGAAAGUGGAACUGUGUAGAAGAGAGGAUAUGUCACCUCCAACGUGAAAAUGCGUGGCUUGUACAGCAACUAGAUGACGUUCAUCAGAAAGAGGAUCAUAAAGAGAUAGUAACUAAUAUCCAAAGAGGCUUUAUUGAGAGUGGAAAGAAAGACUUCGUGCUAGAAGAGAAAAGUAAGAAGCUAAUGAAUGAAUGUGAUCAUUUAAAAGAAAGUCUCUUUCAGUAUGAGAGAGAGAAAACAGAAGUAGUAGUAAGUAUCAAGGAAGAUAAAUAUUUUCAAACUUCUAGAAAGAAAAUUUAAACAUUUGGUUCUGGAUACAUGUUGAACUUAGUUGAAUAUAAAAAUCUAGAUUAAAAGUGUGUUUACCAUACUGUAUAAUUCCAUUUACAUGAAGCAUCCAGAAAAGAUAAAUGUAUAGGGACAAAAAGUAGAUUCAUGUUUGCAAGGGGCUGGGGCUGGAAGCUGGUAGUGACUGCUAAUGGGCAUGAGGAAUCUUACAGUGAUGGAAAUGCUCUAAAGUUGGAUUGUAGAGAUGGCUGCACAACUCAGUAAAUGUACUAAAAAUCUUUUAACUUUAAGUUAAAACAGAUACAUUCUAUAGUAUGUAAAUUAUAUUUCAACAAAGCUGUUUUAAUAAAAAAAGGAAAAAUGUGUUUACUAUAUCGGCUUAGAAACAUGCCUCAUUUCUAGGAAAUAAAAGAUAGAGGUGAGAGAUGAUUUACUUUGAGAAAAGACAUUGUGUCACCUAUGAAAUUUUAUUAGGCACAGAGUCAUAUUUUAAGGUAGAUAGUUCUGUACUGCUGAAAUAGUAAUUUUAAUGUCUUUAUGUUGCCACAUGUUAAGACCAUAAUGUAGUUAUAAAUGGAAAUGUUUACACCUGAAGUGAGUAUUUUCAAAUUAAAAUUUAAUUAAGUGAUUUUCUUCGACACUUAAUUCUAGAUUCCCCAGAUGAAUUGAAGUGUAUUGCUGUGUCUUGUAAUACCUUGCUUUAACUAGCUUUUUAUGUAUUUUAGUUGGUAUAGCUUUGUUAUUAUUCAUAUUAACAAAUCUGAAAAUAUGUCAAAUUACGUAUUUUUAUGACCACGUAAUGUUUUAAAGGCACCUACUGGUUAUAAAAUCAUAAUUUAGGAUAAAUGUGGUAAAACUUAGCAAAACUAUAUUUGGUUUAGUUUUCCCACUGGUAUUUAUAGUUUACUUUGAAUAUUUAUAUUAAUAAUUAGCUCAUAAUUUUUA